UCCGAAUGUAAGGACUGCCAUUUCCCCC
RNAcentral lists this non-coding RNA (28 nucleotides) under Mus musculus (house mouse). The record is from RNAcentral. Lineage: Eukaryota; Metazoa; Chordata; Mammalia; Rodentia; Muridae.